Molecule: non-coding RNA, 88 nt
Organism: Salmo salar (Atlantic salmon)
Lineage: Eukaryota; Metazoa; Chordata; Actinopteri; Salmoniformes; Salmonidae
Source: Rfam
CCCUGUGGCUCAGUUGGUAGAGCAUGGUGUUUGCAGCGUCAGCAUAGUGUGUGCAACGCCAGGGUUGUGGGUUCGAUUCCCACUGGGG